RNAcentral lists this ribosomal RNA (794 nucleotides) under uncultured bacterium. RNAcentral's name for it is "bacterial SSU rRNA". It matches the Rfam family "Bacterial small subunit ribosomal RNA", at positions 61 to 848 of the family's 1533-position model. The record is from RNAcentral.
GUCGAGGGGCAGCAUCAUCAAAGCUUGCUUUGAUGGAUGGCGACCGGCGCACGGGUGAGUAACACGUAUCCAACCUGCCGACAACACUGGGAUAGCCUUUCGAAAGAAAGAUUAAUACCGGAUGGCAUAAUUAUUCCGCAUGGGAUAAUUAUUGAAGAAUUUCGGUUGUCGAUGGGGAUGCGUUCCAUUAGGCAGUUGGCGGGGUAACGGCCCACCAAACCUACGAUGGAUAGGGGUUCUGAGAGGAAGGUCCCCCACAUUGGAACUGAGACACGGUCCAAACUCCUACGGGAGGCAGCAGUGAGGAAUAUUGGUCAAUGGACGAGAGUCUGAACCAGCCAAGUAGCGUGAAGGAUGACUGCCCUAUGGGUUGUAAACUUCUUUUAUACGGGAAUAAAGUGAGCCACGUGUGGCUUUUUGUAUGUACCGUAUGAAUAAGGAUCGGCUAACUCCGUGCCAGCAGCCGCGGUAAUACGGAGGAUUCGAGCGUUAUCCGGAUUUAUUGGGUUUAAAGGGAGCGUAGGCGGGUUGUUAAGUCAGUUGUGAAAGUUUGCGGCUCAACCGUAAAAUUGCAGUUGAUACUGGCGACCUUGAGUGCAACAGAGGUAGGCGGAAUUCGUGGUGUAGCGGUGAAAUGCUUAGAUAUCACGAAGAACUCCGAUUGCGAAGGCAGCUUACUGGAUUGUAACUGACGCUGAUGCUCGAAAGUGUGGGUAUCAAACAGGAUUAGAUACCCUGGUAGUCCACACAGUAAACGAUGAAUACUCGCUGUUGGCGAUAUACAGUCAGCGGCC